CACGACUGGCCUCUGGAGGGCUUCUUCCAAGUAGCAGCUGGAGGAAGAAGAGAGCCCCUUCUUCGACUUGCAGCCCACCAAUUUCAAGCAAAUCUCCAACAUUUUCAUUUGUUAGAGUUUGGCCUCAGCUGUGCAGUCUCCUUUCUUCCCUUCAGCUCCUCUCGCUCAAAGUUACCCAACAGAAGUGCUCCCCGCACCACUUAAAAGGGCGAACCCGAGAGGCGCAGAGCCCCCGGGGCCCGGCUGCCCCCCGGCCCGGACAGGACUGCAGCCAUCCCCCCGCCCGGCCGCUGCAGCAGGAGGGCACGGCGCUGGGUGCUGAGCGCUGCCAACAAAGGGCCCCCUUCAGCCUCCGCGCCUCAGCUCCGCGCCGGCCUCCUG
Molecule: long non-coding RNA, 381 nt
Filed under: Gallus gallus (chicken)
Lineage: Eukaryota; Metazoa; Chordata; Aves; Galliformes; Phasianidae
Source: RNAcentral